UGCUUCAAACAAAGCAGAUGCUGGUAUUUCUUCAUUCACACAGUUGCUGUACAGCUGCCAAUCUGUCUUCUGACUACUUUGACAGUCCAAAAUCUGAGUUAUGGAGAAAAGAACUGGAGCCUUGAGCAUUUUCUUAGCAGUUUGCUUCGUCCAAAUAGGUAUCCCAGCCCUGGGCCAGAGUACGCAGACGCUGCUCUGUUUUAACUGUACCCUUGGACAACAAUGCUUGGAGCCAACCCUGGUGAGCUGUAAGGAAGGAGAGAGGUGUGGCACCAUGAAGGGACUUUCAGAUUUCAAAGUGCAUGAAUCCAUCUAUGCGAGAGGCUGCAUCCCGGCAACCAAAUGCAAUAAGUUGGACAGGGCUAUCUACUCAGAUGUUCCCUACCGGGUCAAAGUCUCCUGUUGUGAUAGCCAUCUCUGCAAUGGGAGUAACUCCUGGGCAUCCCACAAUUCAGCCACAUUCUUCUUCUUACUGGUUGUGACCACAACUAUAGCCGUUCUGCUUGCUGCUUGCUCUUGAGAUACAAAAUCCACCUGCUUCUUCCCGCAGUCACAGCAACGACUGAUCCGCUAAACAUCAACAGUUAGAAACUUUACUAUAGGGGCUAGAUAAAAAGUUAGCGUUCUGUUGGAAGUCUGGUAGAUUCAGUGCUAGUGCACAUCGUACAGGUGGUCCUCACUUAUCUGCCACAAUUGGGAGUGGAAACUCUGUCUCUAAGUGAUGGGGUCAUUAAGUGAAUCACUGCAGAACCUUAAGCGCAACUUUCCGUGACCACGACCUGCAACUUCCUGCCAGUUCUCCAUUGACUUUGCUUGUUGGAAGCCGGCUGUGAAAGUCACAAAUGACAAUCAUGUAACCGCAAGGAUGCUGCAAUGCCCACAAGUUCAAGGCUUGGCCAUAAAUCUCCUUUUUCAGCACUGUUGUAACUUCAAACCAUCACUGAAUAAGGCAAUCAGCAAGUGAGGGCUACCUGUAGUUGAGAAUACACAUACUUACUGCAAUAUAAUUUCUAUAAAAUGUAUUAGGUGUCAACUCGCAAAGCUCCCCUGGCCUGCCCUCGAGUUGCCAUAGGCCAGAGGGGAUGGGAAAUGGCGAAAUGGCACAGCAGAUGCACAUUCCACACUUAUCUCUCUCAAGGCUGUAUCCCAGGGUUACCUACAGCAGCCAAGGGGAGUGACCUCUACAACCUGAGAAAUUACUCUGUUAGCAAAUGUGAUUGAUGACACAUCCUGCAGGGAGAGGGGAAACAGGGUCAUAAUUGGAGCGUAAAUUAUGUAUGGUCACAGCUGGCUUCACUUGGGAAGGUUCCAACAUGAGGGUCCUAAUAAAUAACUGGAUUUCUUUUGAAACUUGGCUCGAGAGUCAUGAUUUAAUUAGGGUAUCCACUGGAACCCUAACAGCAGGGCUUGCUUCAAAGUAAGCAUGGCUAGAAUUUGGUUAGAAAUUAAUAGUCAAAGAUUAUAAUAAUUGUGCUCCAAUGACUCGGGGGAAACUGCUUUUGUGAAAGGCUGCCAAUUUUUGUCUCUACAACAUGAAGACCAUCAAAACACCGAGCCACUUCAAAGAGUCUUGCAAUUGCUAAUUCAGCUAAUUCCAUUAAGAGGUGUAGUGGCUCAGUGUCUUAACAACGUUGGAGAUGGUCUCAGUUCCAGCUGUUUGAGCCCUAGCAUUGCGUGGCAGAGUGAGCUCCCGACACUCGCCUCAGCUUCUGUCCACCUAACAGUUCAGAAGUGUGUUCUAUGCAAGUAGAUAGGAAAGUAUCAUUGGGAAGUUGAUGCUCUGUGCAGGCAUUCAGACUCCUGAUGGCUCUGAACCUUCCUGGUUGUAAGACUCAUUUGCAAAGCAGCUCCAGGAAGGGAGGGGACUUUGAGUGAUGCUGCAGGAAGAGCCACUUGUCUUUCUCUCUGGUGCAAAGCCAGCUCACCCUCUUUAUGGCGCACCUUGGGAAGCACGCAAGCAUGUCCUAUUACAGAGCAGGAACCUUGGCAGUGUUCUGACCUAGGCUUCCCAAAAGCAUGAAGCCGACUCCUCAUCCCGAUAAAACCCCUUUUAUUUAGUUUAAAGGGAAUUCCUCUCCAGCAAAGUCCUGGCCAACAGUCUUUCCAGAGAUUUCACAGCUACAGACCGUUAUCAGGCUUGGAGAACUCCCAGGCUAAUAUCUUCCAAACGUCAUGCUGGAGCAGACAAUACUUGGCAAGAAGUCAGGAACAGAUCUUCACUCUAAUGAAUUGGACUAAUUGUCUCCUGCAAACUCCCCUCCCUUUUCACUCCUUUUUAUGCCCUAUGAGAGGGGCCAUUCACCGUCCACCUGUGGCUUUACUCCUGAGUCGACCCUUGUUCCUUAGCCUGGUCCCUUCUCCUGGCAGCUCUGCGUAUGUGCACAGGCUCCAGCUAUUCUUCUGCCCCACUGAUGUCUCACUCCAAAGGCAGCUGACAACUGUCAGACGGCCCUGGCCCCAUCUCUGCCUCCGAUGCAGAGCACUGAUCAGAGCCUUCCCAAGACUCCAGGACUGACCCAUGUUCCCCCCGCAUCUCCUCACUGUCUGAGUCUGCCACCAGCUCUGCUGGCCGCUGGCGGGCCAAAACAGGCAGGCCAAACUACUACUUUGCAUAGCAUUGUGGUCUCCUUGCUACUGUAACAACGCCAUACACUAAUAAUAAUAAUAAUAAUAAUAAUAAUAAUAAUAAUAAUAAUAAUAAUAAUAAUAAUAAUAAUAAUAGCUAACUCCAUUUAAAAACAGUUGGAACUGUAACUUCUAAUUAGGAUGGAAAUGUAGAUCUUUGACCUUGACACAUGCUUGAUAUCAUGCACCUUUGCGGCAAAGAAACUUGGGGAGACCAAUGAUGCAGAGUAUCAGCACACAUCCUUAGAACUCGAUAAAAUCAUAGGACUGGAAGGGACCUUCAAUCCCAUGUAUUUACUUAACGAUAAGCAGGUUGUUAUUAUUAUGAUGAUGUUUAUUUUCCACCCGUCUCAUAUCCAAGGACUCUUGGAUGUCAACGUUGUUUCAAUAAAGUUUCAAUAAAGUUUUUUU
This is a long non-coding RNA of Ahaetulla prasina, 3036 nucleotides long. RefSeq lists it as uncharacterized. The transcript is spliced from 3 exons. The record is from RefSeq and is a predicted model, not a curated record. Lineage: Eukaryota; Metazoa; Chordata; Lepidosauria; Squamata; Colubridae.